GGAUGAACGCUGGCGGCGUGCCUAAUACAUGCAAGUCGAGCGAACAGACGAGGCGCUUGCUCCUCUGACGUUAGCGGCGGACGGGUGAGUAACACGUGGAUAACCUACCUAUAAGACUGGGAUAACUUCGGGAAACCGGAGCUAAUACCGGAUAACAUGUUGAACCGCAUGGUUCAACAGUGAAAGACGGUUUUGCUGUCACUUAUAGAUGGAUCCGCGUCGCAUUAGCUAGUUGGUAAGGUAACGGCUUACCAAGGCAACGAUGCGUAGCCGACCUGAGAGGGUGAUCGGCCACACUGGAACUGAGACACGGUCCAGACUCCUACGGGAGGCAGCAGUAGGGAAUCUUCCGCAAUGGGCGAAAGCCUGACGGAGCAACGCCGCGUGAGUGAAGAAGGUCUUCGGAUCGUAAAACUCUGUUAUUAGGGAAGAACAAAUGUGUAAGUAACUAUGCACGUCUUGACGGUACCUAAUCAGAAAGCCACGGCUAACUACGUG
Molecule: ribosomal RNA, 498 nt
Filed under: uncultured bacterium
Lineage: Bacteria
Description: partial 16S ribosomal RNA
Rfam family: Bacterial small subunit ribosomal RNA
Source: RNAcentral